Molecule: ribosomal RNA, 312 nt
Filed under: Triticum aestivum (bread wheat)
Lineage: Eukaryota; Viridiplantae; Streptophyta; Magnoliopsida; Poales; Poaceae
Description: partial small subunit ribosomal RNA
Source: RNAcentral
AUGUCCAAUACAAUUAUAGCAAGUUUAAUUCAUCAGGGAACCCAAUUCAUUGGUAGGCGGAAGCACGUUUUAUUAGCCAGGAAGAAUGCUUCUGUAGUAUUGAAAUCUCGUCAGAAAAUGAUGCUUCUAUUGGUCAAGAAGAAUGCUUCUGUGGUAUUGAAUUCGUCAGAAAAUGAUGCUUCCAUUAGUCAAGAAGAAUGCUGCCGUAGUAUUAAAAUCAUGUUACCAGUAAGGAAACACAUCUUAAGAAAUAUCAGAAUUAGCUGCUUGAUUAUUUAUUUGCGAGAAUAUAAUUUUAGGAAGUCGUUUUAG